Molecule: ribosomal RNA, 497 nt
Filed under: uncultured bacterium
Lineage: Bacteria
Description: partial 16S ribosomal RNA
Rfam family: Bacterial small subunit ribosomal RNA
Source: RNAcentral
GAUGAACGCUGGCGGCGGGCCUAAUACAUGCAAGUUGAGCGGUGGAGGUUGGUACGUGUCUCGACUGGGUGGCCAGCGGACGGGUGAGUAAUGCGAGGGGGAUUUGUCUUGGGGCGGGGGGCAAGAUAUGGAGACGAAUGCUCAUACAGCAUAAAAACUUUAAACACAAGUUUUAAGGUUGAAAGCGGCAAUUGCUGCACCCAGAGAUGAUCAGGGGUUGUAUUAGGUAGUUGGUGAGGAAAAGGCUCACCAAGGCGAUGAUACAUAGCCGACCGGAGAGGGAGAGCGGCCACACUGGGACUGAGACACGGCCCAAGCUCCUACUGGAGGCAGCAGUAGGGAAUCUUCGGCAAUGGACGAAAGUCUGACCGAGCAACGCCGCGUGAGUGAAGAAGGUUGUCGGAUCGUAAAACUCUGUUGUUAGUGAAGAACGUUGGUGAGAGUGGAAAGCUCAGCAAGUGACGGUAACUAACCAGAAAGGGACGGCUAACUACGUG